UCCCUGCUGGCUCAAGCGGUAAAGAAUCUGCCUGCAAUGCAGGAGACCCAGGUUCGAUCCCUGGGUUGGCAA
This 72-nucleotide transfer RNA is filed under the name Ovis aries (sheep). It matches the Rfam family "tRNA". Rfam says of the family: Transfer RNA (tRNA) molecules are approximately 80 nucleotides in length. Their secondary structure includes four short double-helical elements and three loops (D, anti-codon, and T loops). Further hydrogen bonds mediate the characteristic L-shaped molecular structure. tRNAs have two regions of fundamental functional importance: the anti-codon, which is responsible for specific mRNA codon recognition, and the 3' end, to which the tRNAs corresponding amino acid is attached (by aminoacyl-tRNA synthetases). tRNAs cope with the degeneracy of the genetic code in two manners: having more than one tRNA (with a specific anti-codon) for a particular amino acid; and 'wobble' base-pairing, i.e. permitting non-standard base-pairing at the 3rd anti-codon position. Lineage: Eukaryota; Metazoa; Chordata; Mammalia; Artiodactyla; Bovidae. The record is from Rfam by way of RNAcentral.